This 772-nucleotide long non-coding RNA is filed under the name Homo sapiens (human). RNAcentral's name for it is "non-protein coding CCDC144NL-AS1:33". The record is from RNAcentral. Lineage: Eukaryota; Metazoa; Chordata; Mammalia; Primates; Hominidae.
AAGUUCCUGUAUUUUUAUGUGGAGUUGCUCACUGCCCAACGUAGAGGACUAGGAAUCAGGAGUCGGUGGCCGUAUGCUGGAGGCUGGAGCCGCGGGAGCGCGGCUCGCCUCGCUGCGGUUGUUGGCAGUGACGGAGAGAGAGCAGCGCGGCUGGAGCAGGACAUUGUAUUAGUUUCCUGCAAUAAAAUAUUUUUACAAUGUCAGUUUGUCGAAACUGCUGGACUGUAAACUAUUUCUAAUCGAAACCUGAAAUUGUGUCACAACAUGGCUGUAUUACGAUUCCAUGUCAGAGGAAGGAUAUAUACGUGCAUCUGGUAGUGGCUUCCAGUUGUUGCUGUCAGAUGUUUGUUUGGGAAUGCAUUCAGAAGAGCUUAUCAAGGACUUGAGUACAAAACAAGCAUUUCCACAAAAAAGCAGUGACACAAAUCACUAUGUAAUAUAGUUAGCCUUUGAACAACACGGAUUUGAACUGCAGGGGUCUACUUAUGAGCAGAUUUUCUCCCACCUCUACCACCUGAGACAGCGAAGACCAAUCUUCCUCUUCCUCCUUCUCCUUAGCCUGCUCAACUUGAAGACUAUGAUGAAGAGUUAUAUAAUGAUCUACUUGCAUUUAAUGAACAUGCAGAGAACAGCGACUUCUCAUCUUGAAAAACUCCCCCACUCUACUGAGGCUUGCAUUUUGCAGCUGUCUUUCAUGUAAAAAUUAUACAUAAAAAAAGGAUCUUCAGAACAACCAAAGAAUUUUAAAUGACUACAUACUGACUGAGGGAAG